UAUGACGUUAGCGGCGGACGGGUGAGUAACACGUGGGCAACCUGCCUGUAAGACUGGGAUAACUCCGGGAAACCGGAGCUAAUACCGGAUAACAUUUUUUCUUGCAUAAGAGAAAAUUGAAAGAUGGUUUCGGCUAUCACUUACAGAUGGGCCCGCGGUGCAUUAGCUAGUUGGUGAGGUAACGGCUCACCAAGGCAACGAUGCAUAGCCGACCUGAGAGGGUGAUCGGCCACACUGGGACUGAGACACGGCCCAGACUCCUACGGGAGGCAGCAGUAGGGAAUCUUCCGCAAUGGACGAAAGUCUGACGGAGCAACGCCGCGUGAGUGAUGAAGGCUUUCGGGUCGUAAAACUCUGUUGUUAGGGAAGAACAAGUACAAGAGUAACUGCUUGUACCUUGACGGUACCUAACCAGAAAGCCACGGCUAACUACGUGCCAGCAGCCGCGGUAAUACGUAGGUGGCAAGCGUUAUCCGGAAUUAUUGGGCGUAAAGCGCGCGCAGGCGGUUUCUUAAGUCUGA
RNAcentral lists this ribosomal RNA (521 nucleotides) under Bacillus sp. RSC132. RNAcentral's name for it is "bacterial SSU rRNA". It matches the Rfam family "Bacterial small subunit ribosomal RNA", at positions 85 to 592 of the family's 1533-position model. Lineage: Bacteria; Bacillati; Bacillota; Bacilli; Caryophanales; Bacillaceae. The record is from RNAcentral.